This 417-nucleotide unclassified non-coding RNA is filed under the name Cristinia helvetica. RNAcentral's name for it is "partial internal transcribed spacer region". The stretch from base 1 to 46 matches the Rfam family "Eukaryotic small subunit ribosomal RNA", at positions 1786 to 1831 of the family's 1831-position model. The record is from RNAcentral. Lineage: Eukaryota; Fungi; Basidiomycota; Agaricomycetes; Agaricales; Stephanosporaceae.
AAGUCGUAACAAGGUUUCCGUAGGUGAACCUGCGGAAGGAUCAUUAUCGAAUAGCAAGGAUUUUGGCUGUCGCUGGCUCACUUAGUUGGGAGCAUGUGCACGCUAGAGUCUAAACUUUUCAUUAUUUAUCUCCUGUGCACCUUUUGUGGAUUGUAGACGAAAUUAGCCCUUUCGGAAUUUAAUGUCUUUGGUUUUGAGACUUGUGCCUAAUCCGCGCUUGACUCUCUACUCUUCAAAACAUUAUUUCGGUUUUGAGACUUGCGCCUAACCGGUGCUUGACUUUAUUCUUUUUUCUGUCUACGGUUCAUGUCUUUUCUACACACUACAAACCUAAACCUAGAAUGUAUUCAAAGUUGGGACUUUAUUGGCCCUUCUUUAAAUCUUAUACAACUUUCAACAACGGAUCUCUUGGCUCUC